Molecule: ribosomal RNA, 466 nt
Filed under: Pseudomonas sp. oral taxon D11
Lineage: Bacteria; Pseudomonadati; Pseudomonadota; Gammaproteobacteria; Pseudomonadales; Pseudomonadaceae
Description: bacterial SSU rRNA
Rfam family: Bacterial small subunit ribosomal RNA
Source: RNAcentral
AUUGAACGCUGGCGGCAGGCCUAACACAUGCAAGUCGAGCGGUAGAGAGAAGCUUGCUUCUCUUGAGAGCGGCGGACGGGUGAGUAAUGCCUAGGAAUCUGCCUGGUAGUGGGGGAUAACGUUCGGAAACGGACGCUAAUACCGCAUACGUCCUACGGGAGAAAGCAGGGGACCUUCGGGCCUUGCGCUAUCAGAUGAGCCUAGGUCGGAUUAGCUAGUUGGUGAGGUAAUGGCUCACCAAGGCGACGAUCCGUAACUGGUCUGAGAGGAUGAUCAGUCACACUGGAACUGAGACACGGUCCAGACUCCUACGGGAGGCAGCAGUGGGGAAUAUUGGACAAUGGGCGAAAGCCUGAUCCAGCCAUGCCGCGUGUGUGAAGAAGGUCUUCGGAUUGUAAAGCACUUUAAGUUGGGAGGAAGGGCAGUAAAUUAAUACUUUGCUGUUUUGACGUACCGACAGAAUAAG